Molecule: ribosomal RNA, 468 nt
Filed under: uncultured bacterium
Lineage: Bacteria
Description: partial 16S ribosomal RNA
Rfam family: Bacterial small subunit ribosomal RNA
Source: RNAcentral
GACGAACGCUGGCGGUGUGCUUAACACAUGCAAGUCGAACGGUAAGGCCCUUUCGGGGGUACACGAGUGGCGCACGGGUGCGUAACACGUGAGUAACCUGCCCUCAUCUCUGGGAUAACAGUCGGAAACGGUUGCUAAUACUGGAUAUGAGCUUGCAAGGCAUCUUGUGGGUUGGAAAGAUUUUUUUUGGUUGGGGAUGGACUCGCGGCCUAUCAGCUUGUUGGUGAGGUAGUGGCUCACCAAGGCUUCGACGGGUAGCCGGCCUGAGAGGGCGACCGGCCACAUUGGGACUGAGAUACGGCCCAAACUCCUACGGGAGGCAGCAGUGGGGAAUAUUGCACAAUGGACGGAAGUCUGAUGCAGCAACGCCGCGUGCGGGAUGACGGCCUUCGGGUUGUAAACCGCUUUCAAUUGUGACGAAGCUUUUUUGUGACGGUAGCAGUAGAAGAAGCACCGGCUAACUACGUG